This is a non-coding RNA of Equus caballus (horse), 4660 nucleotides long. Lineage: Eukaryota; Metazoa; Chordata; Mammalia; Perissodactyla; Equidae. The record is from RefSeq and is a predicted model, not a curated record.
AACCUCAGUCACACGUCAGGAUACGACUGCAUACGCGAGGCCGCCCAAAGCACAAACGAGCCUCCGCGCAGGCGCAAGCCGUCCCUCGCCCGUCCGCCCUUCCGCCCGUCUGCCCGUCACGCUCUUUGCCCCGCCCCGUCACCAGCCCCGCCGGCCGAUCCUCUGCAUCUUCCGCCCAGGCCGGCUUGGCCUCAGCCUGCGCUGCGCCCUCCCGGCCUGGGGCGUCGCUGCACCGGCCUCCGCCGCUGGGGUUGGGGGCGGGAGGCGGAGCUUAGGGGCGGGGGGCGGUGUUGCGGCGGUGUAGGGGCGGCAGGCUGAGGCGACGGCGUCGGUGGUCCCUGCGUGAUGGCCGCCUCGGUGUUCUGCUGCUUGCGGUGCUGUAGGGACGGCGGGACGGGCCACAUCCCUCUGAAGGAGAUGCCGGCCGUGCAGCUGGACACGCAGCACAUGGGAACAGAUGUCGUCAUUGUGAAAAAUGGGAGAAGAAUAUGUGGAACAGGAGGUUGUUUAGCCAGUGCACCUCUACAUCAAAACAAAAGCUACUUUGAAUUUAAAAUCCAGUCCACAGGAAUAUGGGGUGUUGGCGUUGCAACUCAGAAAGUUAACUUGAAUCAGAUUCCUCUGGGCCGAGAUGUGCACAGUCUGGUGAUGAGAAAUGAUGGGGCCCUGUACCACAACAACGAGGAGAAAAACAGGCUGCCGGCAAACAGCCUUCCUCAGGAGGGAGACGUAGUGGGUAUUACAUAUGACCAUGUAGAAUUAAAUGUGUAUUUGAAUGGAAAAAACAUGCAUUGUCCCGCAUCAGGCGUACGAGGGACGGUGUAUCCAGUUGUUUAUGGUAUGGUGAGCCGACAGAUCAAGAGAUGAUUGCCGUUGAAAAAGAUAAUUUCUUACAGUUCCCAAGAGAAGAGGGUACACCACGCCACACAGGGACACACAGGUGAAAAGGUGAAUUGAAAAAAGCACAAGGAAGAGCAUAAAGUGACCCAGAGACAGUGGGCCAUUGGACACAUGGGCCUGUCAAUCUGAAAGUCAAGGCUGAGGAAGAAUAUUAUCCAAAUCUGUAAAAUCAUGCAUCUACUCUGUGCCAAGCACGAGGCUGGGCUAGAGAUGCAAAGAUAAGUAAGACAGUCUCCUCCUUCAAGGAAGCACGUGACUCUGCUCAUGGCUCCAUAGCAAUUUUCCUCCACCAGCAAUAACAGAAGGAAAUUGACAGAGACUCGUCGUUUUUAGCAUCACAGUGAAAAUAUUUCAUGCUAAUAGUAGACUAGAAUCUUUGGGAUUUUUUCUACACACCUUCAUUUGGGGAAUUUGGAUUGUUAAAGAAAAUAUUUAAUUUGAAGAUCUCUUAUGUUCCUUCUGCAGAACUAAAUUUUUGAGAAGCAAUAAUUCAAAACUCUUUAUGCCAUUAAAAAUGGGGAAAAUAAAGAUUUAAAGGCAGCUCCAUACAAGCACAAGUGUUUGAGUAGUUAUUGUAAGAACUCUACCUUUGCUUUAAUUAUUUGAGAAACUGCUUCAAUCUUCAUUACAUAUUGAUUGUUUUAAAAUGACUACUGAUUCUGGUCUGAUAGGCAAGGCUUGGAGUAAAAAUGGACCUAACAUGUUAAGACAAAUGUAUUUUAAUCUGUUUUAAUGGCUGUUAAAUAUUGGCCAUUUUGGAUUUUGAGGUGAUCUGCAGUUUAGCUUCUCCCCGAUCUAUAUCUGGGUCAACAGAGUGUUUCCCAAAAUGUGUUCCAGAGAACCCUAGUUCCAGAAGACGUUAGUAGAUGUUAUACAAAAAUGGUUCAAAGGCCAGCUACUCUAGGAAACGUUAUGUCUAUUUACUAUAGGACUUCAGAGAACCAGCUGGUGACCAAGAGAGGGAGAUAGAGCUUGCAACAUCACCUAAAAAUUUAAUCAAAGAACUCUUUUUCUUAGGAACGGGGUGCUGUGCAAUACUUUGGCAAAUGCUUGUCUAGUGAAUUCCGGAAGGAAAAUAAUUGAGAGUUGGUUAUAGAUAUAAAUCCUGUAACUUGCUUCUGCAUUUCAGAGGGACCACAAACGGAGACAAAAUUAUUGGGCAUUAACUGUGUGCCAGGCACUGUUCUAAGAACUUUACACUCGUUCACUCAUUUGAAAUUCAGAACAACCUUGGGAGGUAGGUACCAUCAGCCCAUUUUAUGGAUGCUGAAACUGUCCAAGAAGUGGAGAAAUGAGGAUUCAAACCCACUCUUAACUACUCCACUAGAUGGCAUUUCGAGAAUCAGUUGUAGAUCUAACCUUCUCACAUCUGUCUACUCUCGCAACAGUGUUAACUGAGUUAACUGUUGUCACUUUUUAGAAUGUUUCCACGUCCUAUAGGGCUUAUACCCCUUCCAUACUCUUCCUAGAUUCUGAUAACUAUUUUCACUUGUGUUUUCUUCCAGAUAACCUGUAGAAUAAUUUGUCAAGUUCCAAAAAUAAAAUAAAACUUCUGUUGCGACUUUGAUUGCAAUUGUGUUAAAACCCUAAAAUAAUAUGAGAAGAAUUGACAUUUUAUGAUAUUCAGUCUUCCCAUCCAGGAAUAUGAUCUCCUUCAGUCCUCUUUAAAUCUUGGGUCUUCUUUCAUUUCUCAGGCCAUUUUAUAAUUCUCUUCAAGUGCAUUUUAACCAACUCAGACUCUCUCUAGAGAUGAACUUUUGGGGGAGGGACAGCCCUCCCAAAACCAUCUCAGUCCUCCUAUAAUGCUUUGGCUCCUCUCCUCAUCCCACGGAAAAGCAGCAGAAGCAAGAUAGCAGUUCAUUCCUACAGAUAUCCAGAAAUUAAUUGUUCCUAAUUUAGGAAGUGCCUACCUCACUAACGUGUUACCAGACAUUAUAAUUUUAUUUAAAUAUGUGAGGUUUCAUGGUGUGUAGAGAUGGAACUGACUCCAACAGUGAGUUCCUAAAUAAUUUUCUCAGCCUCUGCUCUGAGUAAAGACCCAGCCCCAGAGAGUGAUUGAAAGGGAAGCUUUUCUGCCAGGCUUUUCAUAGGGAAACAGGAAAACCCCAAGAAAGGGUUCCCUCCAUCAGUACCAUGUUCAUUUCCAUCGCUGGGUCACUGCUUGAUGGAUAGAAACCAAAUAAUAGUUUUACCAUCCACGUAGAGAGCACAGAGCCAAGACUGGGAAUGAGAGAGUGAGUCCUUUAGUUUGUCUCAUCUAUAAGGAAGAGGUGUGGAUGCUUCAGCAUCGUUACACACCUGCUAUUUCGAGGUUCCUAAAAUAAACAUCUUCCAGGACAAGAAGAGCUAUUACAUGCUCUAUUCAAUUCUCUAUUCAUUAUUGAGGCAAUAAAUCGCACACAAAUAAACUCAAGUGGCUUCUUCGUCUUUGGAGGGACAAAAAAAAAAGUGGUUUAUACUGAUGGCUCAGGAUGCAUUGGACUAGACUGAGGAAGAAUCUGGCAUUUUUACUAAUGGUGUGUGACUCCAGGUGUGCUCCUAGGAGGAAGCUCUAAAAUUUUGUGAUCUUCUUAGUUGGUUCCAGUGGCUGAGCCACCAUCAUCUCUGCCUCAGACCACUGCAGUGGUCUCCCUACAGGACAUCACAUCGAUUCCUGCCCUGUGAGAGAAGAAAUAAAUAUCUGAUGUGUCUCUUAAGCCCUCAAUUCAAUCUGUUGACUAUAAUAGGAACUUGGUUCAAUGUGAUUAAGAGGAACAAACACUAUUCUGGUUAUUACCAGAAAGAAACAUUUUCACAAAUGUGUUUCAGUUGGGUCUGACCACUAACUUUUGCCAAGCCUCUCCUGUGGAAGUGUCAGGCUCUGGGCUGGCCCUGGGUAUGGAGGUAGCUUGAGAAGAAGUGAUGUUCUCUGCCUCUGAGUUGCUUACAGAGUCACUGGGACUAGAGACUCAAAAAGAGGUCAUUAUGGGGUGGUGGUACAAAGAAAGGGUAACGGGAACACAGAGGCGAGCAAUUAGCUUUUCCUUUCUUGGGGUCUGGGGAGGAAUAGAACUGGGUUUUGAGAGCUAAACAGGGGCAUCUUAUCCUCAACAGGGAGACAUUCCAAGCAGAGGAGACGAUGUGCACAGGUGCUGGGCCUGGUCAGGGGACAGUGAGCCGUGAGAGAACAUUCUCAAUUAAUGAAGAGCUUUUAAAAAGGAAAAAGCUUGGAGACUCACGGUGAACUCCUGUCUUCCUCGUUUGUAGCGUGUCCUACCUUCUCUAACGACUGUCAGAGUGAAGGCUGGACUUUGAGCUCGCUCUUUUAGUGUUGAGGGUAUCGGGGAAGGGUAUCAUUAUUCUUAGAUGCAACGUCAGAGACUGCUGGUUGUCCCUCAAGAUCUGCUCUGUUUUACUCUUAUUUAGUAACAGAAUCUUCCAUUUUUAGCCAACCACAUGGCUAUAGGGAAGAAUGACAGUAUUUCCCAGCCUCAUUUGCAGCUAGGUACGACUGUGUUCCUAAGUUCUUCUGGCCCACGGGCUGUAAUUUCCGGGAAGUGUCCUUAGAGGGCGAGAUGUGUGCCUUCCUCCUUCUGAAUUCUAAUGGAAUGAGAAAGUAGAGCCCCAGAAACCACUUUCAACCAUGAAGUGAUCUCAAGAAUGGAUGCUAAGUACAGCAGAGCCACAAAAUAGAAGGUUUCUUGUCCCUGUCACCAUGGAACUGCCAUACCAGCUCUGGACUGCUUGCUACCAGACCUAUACAUUAAAGGAAAUAAAUUUC